This 221-nucleotide unclassified non-coding RNA is filed under the name Hevea brasiliensis (rubber tree). The record is from RNAcentral. Lineage: Eukaryota; Viridiplantae; Streptophyta; Magnoliopsida; Malpighiales; Euphorbiaceae.
GUACCAGCAGUACCAGGAUGCGACAGUCGAUGAAGAAGGAUAUGAAGAUGAGGAAGAGGAGACUGCUGACUGAGCUUCGAUUUCUUUUCUGGGUCGGAGGUGUGCAUUACAUUUCUUGUGAGAGGAUUGUAUAUGUUAUGAUAUAUGGAUACAAUGUUUUUAUUUAUUCCCUUCGAGUUUGGUAUUUGCUUUGUAUGAUGGAUAAUGUAUUCGAUUGCGAU